UUUUUACCGCUAGUGACUCCAGUUGCCUAGCUCCUUCCUCUCCACAGAAGUGACCAUGGCAUCUGGCUCCUUAUACUGUUUUCCGGACCCUUAUCUCAUCUCUUCCAUUCCUAUGAGCAAAACCCACUAUUCAGGCAAUGUGUGUGCUUACAAAAGAUGUGCUUAAAGCCCUAGAAGAACAAGACCUCCCAAAAGUGGUUUUAAGAAUUUAGCAUUUUCAUGGGUGAGGUGGCUCGGUGGAUAAAAGCACUCCCUAUCAAGCCUGACAAUUGAAUUUGAUCCCUAGAAGCCAUAAUGGUAGAUGAGGUAUGAGGGUGAGGAGCCCAGCAACACAGCAGCUUUCUAAAUGGUGACUGUGGAGAGAUGCCAAGGAUGUAGAAUGGUGCCAAGUGUAGAAUCCUGGAGUUGCUCCCUAAACCAGCAGAAACUCAUGUGCAAAGUGUAUUUCACGGAGGCCGAGUAUCUCACCUACAAAGAUAGAACGCAUGUGCAGAUAAUAUUGGGGAGCAGGGAACAAAACGUUUCCUGAGACAGCAAGAAAACGUCUCUGAGGAAAAAGUCGUAGGAGACUUCAAAACACAAAACACAAAACCUUUGGAGAAGGAAGAAAGGAGAAUUAAGCAAGAAGUCCUAGCUACACAUAUUUAAGAUGUUUCUCUUAUAGUAAAUUAAUGCCC
RNAcentral lists this long non-coding RNA (677 nucleotides) under Cricetulus griseus (Chinese hamster). Its description in RNAcentral is "lncRNA (ENSCGRG00015035429.1)". The record is from RNAcentral. Lineage: Eukaryota; Metazoa; Chordata; Mammalia; Rodentia; Cricetidae.